AGAAUGCUCUACAGUCCAUGAAGAUGUGGAGCUGGCCAACGGUUUUCCUCUGGUACCUAGUUCUUGGGAGCUUGCUGUAGAACAGAACCAUGUUGACAGUAUAGUUGAAGAAAAUAAUUCAUUGGGUCAUGACCACGAGGCGAAAGAGCCGUCUGUGGAGGAGCGAUGCGAACUAUUAAGUGAAGUGUGCAUGGAUGUUCCAGAUGUGAACGAAAACUUGAACGGAAGUGAUGUGAGUAAAGUUGAAUCAGAAGGCAAUGGUAACUGUAAAAUCUCCUCGGAAGAAAAUGGUGCUGGUAAUGUUAAAUCAGUAGAGAAGCCACGUUCACAAAGCAGCAUAGCGGCAGGGAAGACUGGAGGUGGAACAGCGUAUCUGCGACGGGGAAGACGAAGAAACUGAGGUGGGGGAAAUAAAACGUAGUUUGUUUUGAAUUUUUGUGCAGAACCAAACAUUGAACAUAAAACUUUUGACCAUAGCUAAAGCAAGGCGGUUGUAGUUUGAUUAGUUGUGUAUGGAUUUGUAUAGAGCUAGAUCAUAGAAUCAGCUUGAAUAAGCGACAACACCGAAGAAGCUUUGUGUAUUU
Molecule: unclassified non-coding RNA, 584 nt
Filed under: Hevea brasiliensis (rubber tree)
Lineage: Eukaryota; Viridiplantae; Streptophyta; Magnoliopsida; Malpighiales; Euphorbiaceae
Source: RNAcentral